GAUGAACGCUGGCGGCGUGCCUAAUACAUGCAAGUCGAGCGAACAGAUGAGGAGCUUGCUCCUCUGACGUUAGCGGCGGACGGGUGAGUAACACGUGGAUACCCUACCUAUAAGACUGGGAUCACUUCGGGAAACCGGAGCUAAUACCGGAUAAUAUAUUGAACCGCAUGGUUCAAUAGUGAAAGACGGUUUUGCUGUCACUUAUAGAUGGAUCCGCGCCGCAUUAGCUAGUUGGUAAGGUAACGGCUUACCAAGGCAACGAUGCGUAGCCGACGGGAGAGGGGGGUAGGCCACACUGGAGCGUAGACACGGUCCAUACGCCUGCGGGAGGCAGCAGUAGGGAAUCGUCCGCAAUGGGCGAAAGCCUGACGGAGCAACGCCGCGUGAGUGAUGAAGGUCUUCGGUUCGUAAAACUCUGUUAUUAGGUAAGAACAAAUGUGUAAGUAACUAUGCACGUCGUGACGGUACCUAAUCAGAAAGCCACGGCUAACUACGUG
This 497-nucleotide ribosomal RNA is filed under the name uncultured bacterium. Its description in RNAcentral is "partial 16S ribosomal RNA". It matches the Rfam family "Bacterial small subunit ribosomal RNA", at positions 28 to 507 of the family's 1533-position model. The record is from RNAcentral.